UGUCACAUUCCUAGAACUGGAAUUACAAAUGACUGCAGAGUACCAUGUGGGUUGUGGGGACCUGGGUGCUCUGCAAGUGCAGUGAUCUUAACAACUGAACCAGCCAUCUUUCCCGCCACAUCAACAUGAGUCCAUAGAAGUUGGACUGUGUGGCUGGAGACAAGACAGCAAGGGUUAGAAUGUCAGGAUUAGAGGCCGGAGCUGUAGGAAGGAAGCCUAACCAGCUCAGUCUGGCCAUGCUGUGAAGAUCCUACCAGAGGAGAUCCCCUGGGGAACAGGGAUACACUAUCUGUACCUUGUUACUUCUGUUCUACAGAGACCAACUGAGGAAGGCCCCUUGGGUGAUAUACAUGCCAAGGUGAAACCCUCCCGGCUCAGGAGGGCAGGAGCUGUCCUAUCUCCUGUCAUGUCAAGAGAAGUCCUGGACACCAAAGAGGGACAAGCAGAAAAGGACAGAGUGAUGGACACUCGGGCUGCACAAUAUGAAGAGCCCCCAGAUGCGACCUAUGCCCAGCCUUUCGACAUGAUACUCAGACAGGAGACAGCUGCACCCCCUUCCUCGCAGGCAGAGGAUGCCCCAGAGGAGCCAGUCUAUAUGCUGCCCUGGCAGUCACUAACCCAGAGACCAUUGGAAACAACAUAAAGUAAUGAGCCUCAGCCUGCAAGGAUGGUGAAUGGAGACCUCUAGGAGAUUCUUGGAAUUUUGGGGAACAUGUCUGCAUUUUGACUAACAUUUCAUAUUUUGGAAAUAAAGCAGGAGAUUUCUCAAUUA
Peromyscus leucopus (white-footed mouse) is the source of this 772-nucleotide long non-coding RNA. RefSeq lists it as uncharacterized. Lineage: Eukaryota; Metazoa; Chordata; Mammalia; Rodentia; Cricetidae. The transcript has 2 exons. The record is from RefSeq and is a predicted model, not a curated record.